Molecule: long non-coding RNA, 1351 nt
Filed under: Mus pahari (shrew mouse)
Lineage: Eukaryota; Metazoa; Chordata; Mammalia; Rodentia; Muridae
Description: lncRNA (MGP_PahariEiJ_G0002999.1)
Source: RNAcentral
GUCAGUUGGAGAUCUGAGCGGAGGGGCCCUGCCCCGGUCCACUGUCUAGGUGCACGGAAGUUGAGGGGCGAGGUCUUCUACUCUCCAGCAAACUGGAACCAAUUCCUGGCGGUUCCCUGGAGGGUCUUGGCUUGUGCGUAUCAGGACGCCUCUCUGCGGUGCUCCCCGCGUGCAGAAGAGAGCCUUGGAUUCCCUGGAGCUGGAGUUUCAGAUGGUUGUGAGCCUCCUUAGAUGCUGCAGAGUAAACCUGAGUCCUUCGGAAGAGCAGUACUUCCUCCAAACCACAGAGCCAUCUCUCCAGGCCCUGCAACUCUUCAUAUGUAAUUAACAUAUCAUAGACACAUUUUACAAGCCUUUUCUUUUUCUUCCUUUUGAAAAGAAUUUUCCUAUAGCCCAAACUGGCCUUGAACUUAAUUAUAUAGUAAAGGAUGACUUUGAACUCCUGAUCAAAUGGUCAUUUUUAAAGACAAUAUAUCCUGUGGAAUAUGACAAAAGUUUGUAUACACAAGCAUCAGCUUUGAAAUGUAAUAACUAAAUUUAUCACUGCUUUUGUAACUGUUUCUCCUCAUUAGAAAUAGAAAGAUAAUAAUAUGUAUUUCAUAGUUUUCAGAAGACUUGCAUGACUUCAUCUAUGUAAUACCUUUAGAUUAGAGGAGUGGGCUAGAAAGAAAAGGGGCUUAAAAUGCUCAACAGUCAAUUGAAUUACUAUGGACCAAGAGAUAUGUCCAUAAAAUAUGGGAUGCAAACCUUUAGGGGGAAUCCUGAUUGGAAUAGGGCAAUUGGGAAAAAAUACUAUAAGGCACAUGGUAAAGUUUCAAUACUCACUUGGUAAUACCAAGAAUUCAAAUUUCUUCUGAGUCUCACUAUGUAGCCCUGGCUGGCAUUAAACCCACAGGCCUGCCUCUGCCCCCCCAAAUGCAGUCAGUAGAGAGAUGUGUGCCACCGCAUGCUGCUUAGUAUCAAUAUUUCUUACAUUUUUAGGUAUGUAAGGGAGCUAAGCAUAGUAACAUAUGCUUGUAACCCCAGCACUUAGGAGGUACAGACAAGGGGACCCAUAGUUGAAGAUUAUUCUCAGCUAUGUAGGUAGCAAAUUAGAGACCAGCCUGUCUCAAAAAAAAAAAAAAAAAAAAAAAAAAAAAAAACUAGAUAAAUAAUUAUUCAGGGGGCUGGAGAGAUGACUCAGUGAUUUAAGAGCACACACUUUCCUAGAGGACCUGAGCUCCAGUCCCAGUACCCAUGUUGGACAACCAGGGGAUGUGACACUUCUGAACACCUGCACUCACACGCACAAACAAUGGGGGGGGGACAUCUUCUUGGAGACAAGGGGGAGGAGGAAUGGGAUGGAAAAAAG